GAAAAACACACCUGGACGUUUACAAAAAAAGAGAAAUCUCUGUCCCAAAGCCUGACCUUACGUUUCAAUCAAGUGCAGCUAGGACAAGGGUGGUUCAAGCCCGCCCGAUAAAGGAACAUGGCCAAGCUAGCCCUAAAACACACUCCUUCCUUCAUUCAGUGCCUUCAUUCAGUCAGUCAAUCUGUCAAACCAGUAAAUUCCAGCCAGUAAGACAAUUCUAGCACCAGAAAGUAGAACGGGCACAUGGCAUGAAGUCAGCAAACUACUCUCUGUUUUCUUGAAAGAGGAAGCCCUUUGGGCAUACCUGCCUGAAAGAGUUAGAAUAAGCUGCUUUCCCGUCCCGCCAUUCCUGCCCUAAAGCAAGGGAAUAGAGUCAGACCCACUCAAAGUAAAGUCCCGUGUCGUACGAUCGUCGCAUAGCCCCCUACACUUGAACUUGCAAAAGGCCAUCUCGCCUAUCCCGACUCAGCGGAGCAUCUUCAAAGCGAUCGUUCUCACUCGUUCACUCCACACAUGCCCUCUCGAAAGAAGUAUGUCGCUCCUCGCCUGCUUAUUCGCCCUCUGUCU
RNAcentral lists this unclassified non-coding RNA (567 nucleotides) under Hevea brasiliensis (rubber tree). The record is from RNAcentral. Lineage: Eukaryota; Viridiplantae; Streptophyta; Magnoliopsida; Malpighiales; Euphorbiaceae.